GUGUGUUACAGCCGUGCAACCUGGGAUUUACAACUACAAACCAUUUUGGCGCAAGUUAGACGUUACAUUUGUGUCAAAACGUAUUUUCUUCGUAAGAAAGUGCUCAGUGAGGUAGUAAACAAGGUUAUUUGUUGAAUUGUAAAGUAAGAGAAGCAUUUCUAAUGUUCUUGUUCCUGUUGAGGUCCUGACAGGUUAGGGACAUGAAUGACGUUCUAAAGAGACAUACGGAUGGUGUACUUUGUUUUAAAAGGUGAUUUUUGGUAUGAAUCAUCUGAGGCCACUUACAACCAACUUAAAAAUGUGUGAUAUUUCCACUCCAUCUCACCUGCUCAUCCGGGAGGACUUUGUCCUGAAUUCAGCACACUGCUUAAGGAAUGCUUAUCCUUUAAUGGUGUUGUUUGGAGCCCAUGACUUCAAGAAGAGUUGUCAAAAUAUUCAGGUGUCACAAUGUCAUCGGCAUCCCUUACAUGAGAAUAUAACGCAGAUCAGUUAUGACAUCAUGCUACUGAAGUUAAAGACCACAGCUCGUCUAACUGAGAAUGUGACGGUCAUUGGACUCCCAAAUGGAGUGUGAACGUAUCCCAGCAUCUCCCAAAUGCUCCGUAGCUGGUUGGGACAAGACUAACUCAAACAACAAACAGGGUUCUGGCAUUUUUACUCAUUCAUUUAAUACAAGAAUAAGAUGCAAACCCCAUAAUUGAGAAGUGUACAUAUUCAGAGAUAUAAUAAUGUGUGUUUCCUGUCCUCUCUGAGGUCACCAAAUGAAACACACUCGUCAUACCCGUCCCUUAAGUAUCCAUGGACCAUUCCCACCUUCUCACAAGUGGACAUUUUGUAUCAAAUCCCCAUUUUGAGGAUUUAGGAGUUCGCUGUGAAAUGCUUUGUUCUCUCUAUGUGUCUCUUUCUGCAUGGCCAGGGGGAGAGGGUCUCCUCCAGGAAUUUACGACCAGAGAGAGAGAGAGAGAGAGAGAGAGAGAGAGAGAGAGAGAGAGAGAGAGAGAGAGAGAGAGAGAGAGAGAGAGAGAGAGAGAGAGAGAGAGAGAGAGAGAGAACAAUCUAUACCCAGGGCCACGUAAUGACAAUAGAUAGGACCUUUAAUUGAAUCUAGGUUUCUCUGGGGACAUAAUAACAAGCUAUCCAUACCACAGGAGGGUGGAGCGGGACCUGUAUCAGUGAUUUAGACCAGAUCAUCUGCAGAGAUAUAUCUCCCCAUGUACUCACCUAAGAUUACUUAUUACCACAUACAGUGCAUUCAGAAAAGUAUUUCAGACCCCUUGAACUAUUUCCACAUUUUAUUACGUUACAGCCUUAUUCUAAAAUGGAUCAAACAUUUUUAUUUCGGUCAUCAAUCAAAUCAAAUGUUAUUUAUCACAUUCACGUGUUUAAUACAGUAUAU
Molecule: long non-coding RNA, 1396 nt
Organism: Salmo salar (Atlantic salmon)
Lineage: Eukaryota; Metazoa; Chordata; Actinopteri; Salmoniformes; Salmonidae
Source: RefSeq, a predicted model, not a curated record